Molecule: ribosomal RNA, 466 nt
Filed under: uncultured bacterium
Lineage: Bacteria
Description: partial 16S ribosomal RNA
Rfam family: Bacterial small subunit ribosomal RNA
Source: RNAcentral
GAUGAACGCUGGCGGCGUGCUUAACACAUGCAAGUCGAACGAUGAAGCCCAGCUUGCUGGGUGGUUUCGUGGCGAACGGGUGAGUAACACGUGAGUAACCUGCCCUUAACUCUGGGAUAAGCCUGGGAAACUGGGUCUAAUACCGGAUAGGAGCGCCUACCGCAUGGUGGGUGUUGGAAAGAUUUAUCGGUUUUGGAUGGACUCGCGGCCUAUCAGCUUGUUGGUGAGGUAAUGGCUCACCAAGGCGACGACGGGUAGCCGGCCUGGGAGGGUGACCGGCCACACUGGGACUGCGACACGGCCCAGACUCCUACGGUAGGCAGCAGUGGGGAAUAUUGCACAAUGGGCGAAAGCCUGAUGCAGCGGCGCCGCGUGAGGGAUGACGGCCUUCGGGUUGUAAACCUCUUUCAGUAGGGAAGAAGCGAAAGUGACGGUACCUGCAGAAGAAGCACCGGCUAACUACGUG